This 457-nucleotide ribosomal RNA is filed under the name uncultured bacterium. Its description in RNAcentral is "bacterial SSU rRNA". It matches the Rfam family "Bacterial small subunit ribosomal RNA", at positions 35 to 507 of the family's 1533-position model. The record is from RNAcentral.
GACGAACGGCUGGCGGCGUGCUUAACACAUGCAAGUCGAACGGGAGUAUUGAAGAAGCUUGCUUUAGAGAUACUUUAGUGGCGGACGGGUGAGUAACGCGUGAGGAGCUGUCCUAUGCAGGGGGACAACAGCUGGAAACGGCUGCUAAUACCCCAUAAGCCGAGAGGUAAAAGGAUCAAUCCGGCAGAGGAGGUACUCGCGUCCUAUCAGCUAGUAGGUGAGGUAACGGCUCACCUAGGCGAAGACGGGUAGCCGGCCUGAGAGGGCGAACGGCCACACUGGAACUGAGAUACGGUCUAGACUCCUACGGGAGGCAGCAGUGGGGAAUAUUGGGCAAUGGGGGAAACCCUGACCCAGCGACGCCGCGUGGGUGAAGAAAUCCUUCGGGAUGUAAAGCCCUGUUGUAUGGGAAGAGCGGAAGACGGUACCAUACGAGGAAGCCCCGGCAAACUACGUG